AACGAACGCUGGCGGCAGGCCUAACACAUGCAAGUCGAGCGCCCUUUCGGGGGAGCGGCGGACGGGUGAGUAACGCGUGGGAAUAUGCCCUUCUCUACGGAAUAGCCUCGGGAAACUGAGAGUAAUACCGUAUACGCCCUGUGGGGGAAAGAUUUAUCGGGGAAGGAUUAGCCCGCGUUGGAUUAGGUAGUUGGUGGGGUAGUGGCCUACCAAGCCGACGAUCCAUAGCUGGUUUGAGAGGAUGAUCAGCCACACUGGGACUGAGACACGGCCCAGACUCCUACGGGAGGCAGCAGUGGGGAAUCUUAGACAAUGGGGGCAACCCUGAUCUAGCCAUGCCGCGUGAGUGAUGAAGGCCUUAGGGUUGUAAAGCUCUUUCAGCUGGGAAGAUAAUGACGGUACCAGCAGAAGAAGCCCCGGCUAACUCCGUG
Molecule: ribosomal RNA, 431 nt
Filed under: uncultured bacterium
Lineage: Bacteria
Description: partial 16S ribosomal RNA
Rfam family: Bacterial small subunit ribosomal RNA
Source: RNAcentral